GGACCAAGGAGUCUAGCAUGUGCGCGAGUCAUUGGGACACGACUAAACCUAAAGGCGCAAUGAAAGUAAAGGUCAGCCUUGCGCUGACCGAGGGAGGAUGAGCGGUUCGCCCUUAAAGUGGCCGCUCCGCACUCCCGGGGCGUCUCAUUCUCAUCGCGAGAAGAGGCGCACCAAGAGCGUACACGCUGGGACCCGAAAGAUGGUGAACUAUGCCUGGUCAGGACGAAGUCAGGGGAAACCCUGAUGGAGGUCCGUAGCGAUUCUGACGUGCAAAUCGAUCGUCGGAACUGGGUAUAGGGGCGAAAGACUAAUCGAACCAUCUAGUAGCUGGUUCCCUCCGAAGUUUCCCUCAGGAUAGCUGGCGCUCGUAUUAACGAGUCUCAUCCGGUAAAGCGAAUGAUUAGAGGCAUUGGGGUCGAAACGACUUCAACCUAUUCUCAAACUUUAAAUGGGUGAGAUCUCCGGCUUGCUCGAACUUGAAGCCGCGAGACACGGAUCAGAGUGCCAAGUGGGCCAUUUUUGGUAAGCAGAACUGGCGCUGUGGGAUGAACCAAACGCCGAGUUAAAGCGCCUAAAUCGACGCUUAUGGGAUACCAUGAAAGGCGUUGGUAACUUAAGACAGCAGGACGGUGGCCAUGGAAGUCG
RNAcentral lists this ribosomal RNA (645 nucleotides) under Cychramus luteus. RNAcentral describes it as "eukaryotic LSU rRNA". It matches the Rfam family "Eukaryotic large subunit ribosomal RNA", at positions 663 to 1263 of the family's 3401-position model. Lineage: Eukaryota; Metazoa; Arthropoda; Insecta; Coleoptera; Nitidulidae. The record is from RNAcentral.